Molecule: long non-coding RNA, 2306 nt
Organism: Lytechinus pictus (painted urchin)
Lineage: Eukaryota; Metazoa; Echinodermata; Echinoidea; Temnopleuroida; Toxopneustidae
Exons: 3
Source: RefSeq, a predicted model, not a curated record
AGACAGAAUCACAAUUCGGAGCUUCAAAAAUAUCCUGAGUGAAUAAUUAAUCUGCUAAAUAAAAUGGAGCUUCAUCUGGAUUAAGAACUGAACCUGAAAAAAGAAGGAGAGCAGCAUGGACCUUUAACAGGAUCUUUAGAUGGUGGGAACCUGGAGCAAAAUAUGAAGAUUCUCCUGUGCGUGAAUCAACAAUUGAAGCUGAAAACAAUGCUAGCAAGGAUAUAAUUGAGAAAGUAAACAGCAAAAUUCGGACCUUCAAAACAAUCUUCAUGAAACUGCCAAAGAAUAUAAACUUCAUCUGGAUCAAGGACAGAACCUGAAAGAAAUGCAGGUAAGAAUGUCUUAUAAUUACAUCUUUAAACUAUAUACAAGUGUGCAAUACACGGAAAUAAUAACAAUCUAGUUGACUAUAUAGGCCCGUAUUCUGAAGUCAGCUUUAAUUUAGACCAUUGUCUAACUCUGUGCUAAAAUUAUAAGCCAACAGUGUCAAAAUUUCUAUUAAGUUGUAUGUUUCUUAUGUUUACUGUGCUCUUUCCUGAUUCAUCGAUGGUGAAGAUAAUCAUCUUUUUAUACUUCCUAGACAAUUAUGAAUGAUUUGAGAGCCAAAUGAGCUGAAAUAUGAUGUCUCUACUGUAAGUGAAUUUAUGUAACAAUUGGUUGUCCAUAGUUAAACCACAACUUUAAACCUGAGUUUAAUUUAAACCGACUUCAGAAUACGGGCCUAUACGCCAAAUCUGUUAACUUCUGAGAUCAUGGAAAAUCAGACCACCAUCUUGUGUUUGGUGGGUAAAUGUACAAUCAAUUCAUACGGGAUUUGUCAAUCUGACAGCAACAGUCUUAGUACAUGUAUAUUGAAUAUAAUAUGACAAAUAUUUAAGGAUGCAUAAUUUGUCUUCUCUAACGGAAUCAUUGCUACACCUUUGUAGGCCCUUUCAAAAUAAAUUCUGCCAUAGACCCUUGACAGACACUGAUUAUGGCCGAAAAUUGACACUAUUGAUUUCCAGGGGCUUGUUUUGAAGACCUUCAUUACGAUUUCUGAAACAUACUGCUGUAGGGUAUCUCAGCUCAUGUUAAUAAAUGUACCAGUGCUAAUUAAUUGUGAUACCAUUCUAACAACGCCAAUAAAGUUGUUUGCUUUUCGUUUUUAAUUGUUAAUUUGAAGGGCCAUACGCGUACCUAGACAGGUUGAUUAUACCAUUCUUUAUAUAAGUAAGAAAUUUGAAAAUGAGGAACUUUACAGGGAAUUGUUCGAUUUUUACUUCAUUUGUUAUUCUAAAACAAAUAGAAAGUAAAGCCCAUAUUUGAAUAUUGGAUACAGAAAAAAUAGUAUUGAUUACGUGAUGAUGAAUUUAUUUGUUUUUGUUUAUGGUAAAAAUCUCAUUAUGUUUAUUUUAUGAAAUGCUUUCCUGACCAUUAUUCCGCUAUCAUGCUAAUCAAAAUGCAAGUGACAAGUUUACUGGUGUUGCCAAUAGUGAAUUCCGAUGGUUAUCUAUCCAUGCGGAAACUCCCCUUUUCUGCCAUAUAAUGCGAUUGGAGAUGAGGAGAAAGAUCCAUUUGCAAAGGAUAGUGUAUACUUUCCAGAGUUCUUCAGCUCGGUUUCAUUCUCUCAAUUCCAGAUCCAGGGUAGUCAUUGACAAAUAACUCGCUGUCAAUCGAGUUACCCGGGUAAAUAGAGAAAAGAUGUUAGUAGGCACAAACCAUGCUUGGAUAUACAUUCGGACGUGUUUCUCCUCCUCUUAGGCAUAUACUCAACCCUGUCGCGCUUCCUUUCCCCAUUCCGCGUAUUUUAGUAGCUCAGUCCCAACAAGACUGCUUAUAUAACCAGUUUUAUAAAGUUUCAUAAAGGACUUGCAACUGUUGUAAUUUUGCCAUGAUGGCAACUACCAUGUUAAUCUUAAUUUUGAUCGGAUGCUGAGCCCUGUUGCGAUGGUAGUUGCCAUUAUGGCAAAGUUACAACAGUUGUUACUCUUUAUGAAAUUAGCACCUGGUCAUUGAUGUUAAUAGAAAGCUAACUAUCAUCUAUUGCAUUGCGAUUUGUUUUAGUAUUUUGAGAUUCAUCCAAAAAAUUUCACUUUCAGCUAUGCUCGAUGGCAUGAGUACAUCCCUGAGUUUGUUGCGGAGGCAUAUACUGAAAGUGUCGUUUUAUGGCUUUAUAGAUUUUUUUAUCGACUUGCCUCAAUAGCAAAUCGUUCAAUGUUACGAUAUUUACUUCCGCCAAUGACAAAAAAAAAAAAAAAAAAUGUAUUGCGGUUCACGGCCAUUCCUAUACUAAAAACUGCGAACAAUGAAAGUGCAUCAGAAAUGAU